UUCUUCUAUAUAUUUCUGGGC
RNAcentral lists this non-coding RNA (21 nucleotides) under Caenorhabditis elegans. The record is from RNAcentral. Lineage: Eukaryota; Metazoa; Nematoda; Chromadorea; Rhabditida; Rhabditidae.